RNAcentral lists this ribosomal RNA (253 nucleotides) under uncultured bacterium. RNAcentral describes it as "partial 16S ribosomal RNA". It matches the Rfam family "Bacterial small subunit ribosomal RNA", at positions 524 to 776 of the family's 1533-position model. The record is from RNAcentral.
GACGGAGGAUGCAAGCGUUAUCCGGAAUCACUGGGCGUAAAGCGUCUGUAGGCGGUUUAAAAAGUCCACUGUUAAAAAUUGAAGCUUAACUUCAAAGAUGCCGUGGAAACUUUUAAACUUGAGUAUGGUAGGGGUAGAGGGAAUUUCCAGUGGAGCGGUGAAAUGCGUAGAUAUUGGAAAGACCACCAAUGGCGAAGGCACUCUACUGGGCCAUUACUGACACUGAGGCGCGAAAGCGUGGGGAGCAAACAGG